This 30-nucleotide non-coding RNA is filed under the name Mus musculus (house mouse). The record is from RNAcentral. Lineage: Eukaryota; Metazoa; Chordata; Mammalia; Rodentia; Muridae.
UGCAAUGUCCUACCUGCUAACUAGCUCUCC